RNAcentral lists this ribosomal RNA (235 nucleotides) under uncultured bacterium. Its description in RNAcentral is "partial 16S ribosomal RNA". It matches the Rfam family "Bacterial small subunit ribosomal RNA", at positions 252 to 504 of the family's 1533-position model. The record is from RNAcentral.
GUGAGGUAACGGCCCACCAAGGCGACGAUCCAUAGCCGGACUGAGAGGUUGAACGGCCACAUUGGGACUGAGACACGGCCCAGACUCCUACGGGAGGCAGCAGUGGGGAAUAUUGCACAAUGGGGGAAACCCUGAUGCAGCAACGCCGCGUGAAGGAAGACGGUUUUCGGAUUGUAAACUUCUGUUCUUAGUGAAGAUAGUGACGGUAGCUAAGGAGCAAGCCACGGCUAACUAC